This 471-nucleotide ribosomal RNA is filed under the name uncultured organism. RNAcentral describes it as "partial 16S ribosomal RNA". It matches the Rfam family "Bacterial small subunit ribosomal RNA", at positions 334 to 797 of the family's 1533-position model. The record is from RNAcentral.
CACUCCUACGGGAGGCAGCAGUGGGGAAUUUUGGACAAUGGGCGAAAGCCUGAUCCAGCAAUGCCGCGUGUGUGAAGAAGGCCUUCGGGUUGUAAAGCACUUUUGUCCGGAAAGAAAUCCUUGGCUCUAAUACAGUCGGGGGAUGACGGUACCGGAAGAAUAAGCACCGGCUAACUACGUGCCAGCAGCCGCGGUAAUACGUAGGGUGCGAGCGUUAAUCGGAAUUACUGGGCGUAAAGCGUGCGCAGGCGGUUUGCUAAGACCGAUGUGAAAUCCCCGGGCUCAACCUGGGAACUGCAUUGGUGACUGGCAGGCUAGAGUAUGGCAGAGGGGGGUAGAAUUCCACGUGUAGCAGUGAAAUGCGUAGAGAUGUGGAGGAAUACCGAUGGCGAAGGCAGCCCCCUGGGCCAAUACUGACGCUCAUGCACGAAAGCGUGGGGAGCAAACAGGAUUAGAAACCCCGGUAGUCCC